RNAcentral lists this ribosomal RNA (253 nucleotides) under uncultured bacterium. Its description in RNAcentral is "partial 16S ribosomal RNA". It matches the Rfam family "Bacterial small subunit ribosomal RNA", at positions 524 to 776 of the family's 1533-position model. The record is from RNAcentral.
UACGUAGGUGGCAAGCGUUGUCCGGAUUUAUUGGGUUUAAAGGGUGCGUAGGCGGCCUUGUAAGUCAGUGGUGAAAUACUCUAGCUUAACUAGAGGGGUGCCAAUGAUACUGCAGGGCUUGAGUACAGAUGAGGUAGGCGGAAUUGACGGUGUAGCGGUGAAAUGCAUAGAUAUCGUCAAGAGCACCUAUAGCGAAGGCAGCUUACUGGGCUGUAACUGACGCUGAGGCACGAAAGUGUGGGGAUCAAACAGG